Mytilus californianus (California mussel) is the source of this 1528-nucleotide long non-coding RNA. RefSeq lists it as uncharacterized. NCBI's taxonomy places the organism in Eukaryota, Metazoa, Mollusca, Bivalvia, Mytilida, Mytilidae. The record is from RefSeq and is a predicted model, not a curated record. The transcript is spliced from 2 exons.
UUUAUGGUGUGAUAACAAAAGCAAAAAAACAUGAUACUAAAGGACAGAACAUAAUAUCAACACAGAAAUGAAUCUUAUCGAUUUCAGUGCGCAUUACACGUGUGAUAACAUUCAUCAGAUUCAAGAAAGGACUUUCGUGAUCUUCCGUGCUGUUUAUACGAAACACAAACUAUGAUAACAAAAACCCGUGAUAUUUUGAUUCCUUCAUAAAUAAGAGGACAGAAAAUGGACAAAUUACAAUCUGAUAAGACCUUUAUUGUUAACAACUAUUGUCUAUUUAGUAACUAACCUUAUUAAUCAGGGAUACUACUCACAAGUCAAAUUAAAUGCAACACAGAAGAUGAACAAUGGAACAGUUAAAAGACACCAAUAAAGAGUAUAACGACAUUAUUAUUUUGAAAAGUGCAAACCGUCAUUUUUUAGUGCAUAUGAACAUUUUUCUAAAGAUGUAUCUGGAUAAAAAGAAGAUGCGCGCAAUGGUGUUUAGCAGUAAUUACACUUAAUGUGAUAAUUUCUUUUUAUUAUCAGUAAAUCGUAUGUACUUAAAAUUAAACGAAGAAAUUAACAGAGUACUUGAAGGUCUGUAAAUUUUAAAGUACAAAUUACUAAUAAACAAAGCAUGAAAGGAACAAAGAUAAAUGGCAACAUUGUUUAUGAUCCAGAGCUCACAGGUGAUUUAUAUAACCAUUUCUAGUAUUCUUCUAUGUAUAAGGUUCACGAUGUUUUAACAUUGCUGCAGCUGUUGUUUCUGCUGUAUACAUUUAGUUUUCGUAUCACAGGGAACAAUUGAGAUGUUUACAUUGGUCUUUAAAAUGAAUCCCCAAACACUGGCGUACGUCCCCUUUGAUCGCCACAAAAAUUUUAAAUAUCAUGUUUCUCACGAUCGUCCAAAAUGUGUUCGCCUCGUGCCGCUCGGGUGUAUAACUUCAAUUAUCGGAAAUUACACCCCCUUUCAAAAUUCCUGAAUCCAUCCCUGUCAAAGGACUAGGAUAUAUAAAUUUGACUAUAUGGGCUUCACCAAUUCGAAAGUUACACAAAUGUUAACGAGAAGCAUUCGUUUGGCUGUGUGGGAUGUAUAAAUACGCAGCAACGUCCGAUCAGAAUGGGCCCGGAAGUUUGAAAAAGUGCUAUACUUUCGCUCUAUGUACAUGAAACGAAUCCUUGCAUCUAUAAGUUAAUUGGCUUGUAGGUGGUCUGUUGCAUGGCCUCUCCGCCCCGAUCCAACUAGAUUGAAUUGUUUUACAAGUGUCAUAUCGGGGUCUUUUAUAGCUUACUAUGCGGAAUGAGUUUUGCUCAUUGUAUAAGGCCGUGCGGAGACAUAUAGUUGUUAACUUCUACGUAUUUGGUCUCUGUUAGAAAGUUGUCACAUUGCAGUCAUGACACAUCUUCGUAUUCUUAUACAAUUAUCGGAUUGCAAUUUUUUUUUUUUUACCUUUUGUCCCGGUCGUGGAUACUUUACGAAAUAUAUUGGCGUUGUUACAAGGCUUUAUGGAGUUUUUACGAGCAAUAAUAAGAAAGGUACCAACUU